AUGCAGUCGAACGCGAAAGGGGAGCAAUCCCUGAGUAGAGUGGCAAACGGGUGAGUAACACGUGGGUGACCUGCCUUCGAGUGGGGGAUAACGUCCCGAAAGGGACGCUAAUACCGCAUGACAUCCUGCCCUUGGAUGGGCGGAGAUCAAAGCUGGGGAUCGCAAGACCUGGCGCUUGAAGAGGGGCCCGCGCCUGAUUAGCUAGUUGGUGGGGUAACGGCCUACCAAGGCUACGAUCAGUAUCCGACCUGAGAGGGCGGACGGACACACUGGGACUGAGACACGGCCCAGACUCCUACGGGAGGCAGCAGUGGGGAAUUGUUCGCAAUGGGCGAAAGCCUGACGACGCAACGCCGCGUGGAGGACGAAGAUCUUCGGGUCGUAAACUCCUGUCGAGUGGGAAGAAUGGAUCGGGGGUGAAUAAUCCCCGGUAUUGACGGUACCACUAAAGGAAGCCCCGGCUAACUCCGUGCCAGCAGCCGCGGUAAUAC
This 491-nucleotide ribosomal RNA is filed under the name uncultured bacterium. RNAcentral describes it as "bacterial SSU rRNA". It matches the Rfam family "Bacterial small subunit ribosomal RNA", at positions 55 to 526 of the family's 1533-position model. The record is from RNAcentral.